AUUGAACGCUGGCGGAAUGCUUUACACAUGCAAGUCGAACGGCAGCACGGACUUCGGUCUGGUGGCGAGUGGCGAACGGGUGAGUAAUAUAUCGGAACGUGCCCAGUCGUGGGGGAUAACGUAGUGAAAAUUACGCUAAUACCGCAUACGAUCUAUGGAUGAAAGCGGGGGAUCGCAAGACCUCGCGCGAUUGGAGCGGCCGAUAUCAGAUUAGGUAGUUGGUGAGGUAAAGGCUCACCAAGCCGACGAUCUAUAGCUGGUCUGAGAGGAUGAUCAGCCACACUGGGACUGAGACACGGCCCAGACUCCUACGGGAGGCAGCAGUGGGGAAUUUUGGACAAUGGGCGCAAGCCUGAUCCAGCCAUUCCGCGUGCAGGACGAAGGCCUUCGGGUUGUAAACUGCUUUUGUACAGAACGAAAAGCUCUGAGUUAAUACCUCGGGGUCAUGACGGUACUGUAAGAAUAAGCACCGGCUAACUACGUGACG
Molecule: ribosomal RNA, 487 nt
Filed under: uncultured bacterium
Lineage: Bacteria
Description: bacterial SSU rRNA
Rfam family: Bacterial small subunit ribosomal RNA
Source: RNAcentral